UAGGGAAUCUUCCGCAAUGGGCGAAAGCCUGACGGAGCAACGCCGCGUGAGUGAUGAAGGUCUUCGGAUCGUAAAACUCUGUUAUUAGGGAAGAACAAAUGUGUAAGUAACUAUGCACGUCUUGUCGGUACCUAAUCAGAAAGCCACGGCUAACUACGUGCCAGCAGCCGCGGUAAUACGUAGGUGGCAAGCGUUAUCCGGAAUUAUUGGGCGUAAAGCGCGCGUAGGCGGUUUUUUAAGUCUGAUGUGAAAGCCCACGGCUCAACCGUGGAGGGUCAUUGGAAACUGGAAAACUUGAGUGCAGAAGAGGAAAGUGGAAUUCCAUGUGUAGCGGUGAAAUGCGCAGAGAUAUGGAGGAACACCAGUGGCGAAGGCGACUUUCUGGUCUGUAACUGACGCUGAUGUGCGAAAGCGUGGGGAUCAAACAGG
RNAcentral lists this ribosomal RNA (429 nucleotides) under Actinomycetes bacterium. Its description in RNAcentral is "Actinobacteria bacterium partial 16S ribosomal RNA". It matches the Rfam family "Bacterial small subunit ribosomal RNA", at positions 355 to 776 of the family's 1533-position model. Lineage: Bacteria; Bacillati; Actinomycetota; Actinomycetes. The record is from RNAcentral.